UUGAUAUAUCCUGAUGCAAGGUAUUGUAUGUAAUUAUCCAUUUUAACUAUUACAGCAGAAAAUGAAAUUGUCUGUAACAUCAAACACCUGUCUGCCAGUAGAGUGUGUUGGGAUUGUCUGCCAAGUCAUAGGCAAUCAGCAAUGCUUGAAUGGGCUUUGGGGACAGAUGACCCAGAUGAGACAAUUGCCAAAGUUGGAAACUUGGUUCUGAGAAGGAAAGAUUUCUGUACUCUAGGUCUCAAUGAGCUGUUAGAGGCAACAAUUGCAAACAGCUGUCUUGAGGUAAUCGCAUUGGUGGCUAAGGAACGAGGAAUGGAUGUGUGGACAGCCAACGCAUAUGUUGUGGUGAC
Xyrauchen texanus (razorback sucker) is the source of this 350-nucleotide long non-coding RNA. RefSeq lists it as uncharacterized. The record is from RefSeq and is a predicted model, not a curated record. The transcript has 4 exons. Lineage: Eukaryota; Metazoa; Chordata; Actinopteri; Cypriniformes; Catostomidae.